This 113-nucleotide non-coding RNA is filed under the name Scrippsiella hangoei. Lineage: Eukaryota; Dinophyceae; Peridiniales; Peridiniaceae. The record is from RNAcentral.
UUGAUGAUGGCCACACCCUCUGUGACGGCGAUGCUGACACAGCCGAGGGUUAUUGCUGGAUCGUGGGAUCUUCUGUGUUGCAAGCAGGAGGCGCCAGCCGAUAUGAGAUAUCA